UACGGAGGGUGCAAACGUUGCUCGGAAUCAUUGGGCGUAAAGCGCACGUAGGCGGCCUGAUAAGUCGGAUGUGAAAGCCCUGGGCUCAACCCAGGAAGUGCAUUCGAAACUGUCAGGCUUGAAUGUGGAAGAGGGUCGCGGAAUUCCCGGUGUAGAGGUGAAAUUCGUAGAUAUCGGGAGGAACACCAGUGGCGAAGGCGGCGACCUGGGCCAACAUUGACGCUGAGGUGCGAAAGCGUGGGGAG
This 245-nucleotide ribosomal RNA is filed under the name uncultured Kofleria sp. RNAcentral describes it as "partial 16S ribosomal RNA". It matches the Rfam family "Bacterial small subunit ribosomal RNA", at positions 524 to 768 of the family's 1533-position model. Lineage: Bacteria; Pseudomonadati; Myxococcota; Haliangiales; Kofleriaceae. The record is from RNAcentral.